CAAAUGCGUUUCACAUCAAGUGUUGAUCGGGCCAUUGUCUCUGAAACAUUUGUUUUAGAGCUAUGUUGGUGUACUGGUGUAGGAUCUAUGUUCGUGCACUAGAUUUAGGAACUCGUUCUCACUCACUUCGUUGCUAGGGCAAGCCUAGAGAAGAUAGCUAGGGUUUAUUAAUUUGUUCAAAGAUCAAUUGAUUUGUUUAUCCCCAAAAUCCCUAAAUCUUAAAAUCCUAGAUCGCUCUCUUCUUUCUUGUGAUUGAAACACACUGAUUCUUCGCACAGAAUGUUGUAUUGUUAAGAGAUUGAGAUUGAAGCGAAGGCGCUGCGUUUUGAGGAGGUUGAGUCUUCUGAAAUUGUAGGACUCUUAAUCACUAUUGAAUGUGGAAGGUUAAAAGUUUCCAUGGGUGAAAUUGCUAUACUACCUCAAGGUUUUCGUUUUUCUUUGUUGCAGUUCAAGAUUUUUCUCCCUUCAAUAUCUUUACUUGGCAUGGGUUUCAUCACAAAUAAUGAAAGGGCAUUAGAGGAGCUAUUUGUAGAUGAAGAAGAUAAUUAUAGCAGUGUUGCAUGUUCGAAUGUGACAGCAAAAUGAAUUGCUACAGUUUUUGCUUCUUUAAGAGGAUAAUUAUAGCGGUAAUACUAGAGAUUUGACAUCCUCUUUUCUAAUUCUC
RNAcentral lists this small RNA (664 nucleotides) under Vigna angularis var. angularis. RNAcentral's name for it is "Non-protein coding transcript". Lineage: Eukaryota; Viridiplantae; Streptophyta; Magnoliopsida; Fabales; Fabaceae. The record is from RNAcentral.